GGGCUGAUGUACCCAGGGAAAGUUGG
This 26-nucleotide non-coding RNA is filed under the name Cricetulus griseus (Chinese hamster). Lineage: Eukaryota; Metazoa; Chordata; Mammalia; Rodentia; Cricetidae. The record is from RNAcentral.